Molecule: long non-coding RNA, 1218 nt
Organism: Gopherus evgoodei (Goodes thornscrub tortoise)
Lineage: Eukaryota; Metazoa; Chordata; Testudines; Testudinidae
Exons: 4
Source: RefSeq, a predicted model, not a curated record
GGCCAGAGCUACCCUGCGCCCGCUACCUGGAGGAGCUGCCGGAGCUACCCUGUGCCCGCUACCCGGAAGAGCUGCCGGAGCUGCCCCCUGCCUGCUACCCGGAGCUGCCGCUCAACCCCUGCCCCGAUGAACCUAUGCUCCUGGACCCCCCAGAGGCCAACGCCAGGACCCAGUGAGGCUCCUGGCUCCCAGCUGUUCCAGAGAAGGACAAACCCCAACAGUGGAUGUGUACAGAUGCAAAUAGAGGGGAAGUUGGUGAAAUGAGACAUACAAGACAGCUGUUGCUGAUGACAGGCUGUGACACCCAUAGUGGAGAGUCUGAGGUCAUUGGAAAAACUCCCUGGCUCAGGUCCAAAGACAGAGGUGGCUGAGGUCAGGUGAGCAGCAGAGACAAGGUCUGCGAGUGUGUAGGCAUCAAACCAUAGGACAACUCCAUAGUCAAGAGAUGGGACCUGCAUGCAGAGUGGUCCAAGAGCAGAGCUGAGGUAGCAGCAGAAAACUACAUUUCCAUCCAACCAAAUGGGACCAUCAGCAUGAAAUGGGCAGAAUGAACACAAAUGGGAGAGCAAUGAAUUCAUACAGUGCCCAGCUGGCAAGAGCCUUCCUCACCUUCAGAUGGCACAGCCUGGGCAGUGAGGAUGAAAGGAUCGUAGUAGCUGUACAUCGCUUUCUUCCAUACCACGGACAUGACAUGACCCGAAGAAAGAACUUCCACCAUGGGCUCCUGACGGCUGCAGCCAUAGAAUCUGAGAGGAAAGAGAUAGCGGGAAGUGUGAAAGAGAGUGGGAAUGAGGAAAGGAGGUGAGAAAAGGAGAGGAGCGAAGUGGUGGCAAGAGACGGGGAGAGAGAAAAAAGAGGGGGUGAAGUUAUUCAGACCUUUAACUUCAGUAUGUUGCUAGACACUACGGCCUAAAUCCUCAAAGGUGUUUAGGCUUCUGACUUUCAUCAAAACCAAUGGAUAUUAGGAGCCUAAAUACCUUUGAAGCUCUGGGACUAGUAACCAAAUCAAGGAAUAGCAUGGAGAAAAGGGUGAGCAUGUCCCCACCCCUUGUCAGGACCUUCAUCUUAUCUCACACCAGACCACCUUCAUGAGGACUCUGAGACCACAGAGUACCUCUUGUGAUGCUACACCACAUAUUCUUUAUAGAGAUAUGCUUAUGAUAUGAAUAUGACAUAACUAAGAUGUAUUUUAUGCAAGAUGGGUCAUGUGAGGUAUCA